GAUGAAGAACGCAGCGAAAUGCGAUACGUAGUGUGAAUUGCAGAAUUCAGUGAAUCAUCGAAUCUUUGAACGCACAUUGCACCUCUCGGUAUUCCGGGAGGUAUGCUUGUUCGAGCGUCAUUUGUACCCUCAAGCUCUGCUUGGUGUUGGGUGUUUGUUCCGCCUCUGUGUGUGAACUCGCCUCAAAACAAUUGGCAGCCGGCGUACUUGUUUCGGAGCGCAGCACAUUUUGCGAUCCAGAUCAACGUACAGCGGCAUCCAAGAAGCCUUAUUUAACGCUCUUGACCUCGGAUCAGGUAGGGAUACCCGCUGAACUUAAGCAUAUCAAUAAGCGGAGGA
This 339-nucleotide unclassified non-coding RNA is filed under the name soil metagenome. RNAcentral's name for it is "partial contains 5.8S ribosomal RNA, internal transcribed spacer 2, and large subunit ribosomal RNA". The stretch from base 1 to 120 matches the Rfam family "5.8S ribosomal RNA", at positions 35 to 154 of the family's 154-position model. The record is from RNAcentral.